AAGAUAGAGGCGCGGGUUUAAAGAGUAGCAUUAACGCCAAUAUUUCAACAUAUUGUUAAUGUGAAAGGUAAGACCGCCGAGGAAUGUAUAGGUUGAAAUAUGCAUAUCCGGUCGUGCAUUGAAUAAGUGUACGAUUGUCAUUAAGCCGUCAGGCGUAAUGGAGAGCUAUCG
RNAcentral lists this non-coding RNA (171 nucleotides) under uncultured Ruminiclostridium sp. RNAcentral describes it as "Lysine riboswitch". It matches the Rfam family "Lysine riboswitch aptamer". Rfam says of the family: Riboswitches are metabolite binding domains within certain messenger RNAs that serve as precision sensors for their corresponding targets. Allosteric rearrangement of mRNA structure is mediated by ligand binding, and this results in modulation of gene expression. The record is from RNAcentral. Lineage: Bacteria; Bacillati; Bacillota; Clostridia; Eubacteriales; Oscillospiraceae.